Notothenia coriiceps (black rockcod) is the source of this 234-nucleotide long non-coding RNA. RefSeq lists it as uncharacterized. The transcript is spliced from 3 exons. Lineage: Eukaryota; Metazoa; Chordata; Actinopteri; Perciformes; Nototheniidae. The record is from RefSeq and is a predicted model, not a curated record.
UAUUAUUACCGGGCUGCACAUCCAUCGAGGCGGUCAAACUUCCGGAGGACCGUGUGUUUCUUCCUCCAGGUCGGAGAGAAACAGGCCCGAGGAGACAAAGACUGUCUUCUGUUGGACAUCUGUCCUUCUGUUUUUCGUCUCUGAUAAGUGCUCCUCCUGUUCUGUGUCAGUCGGGCUUGACCGUCUGCUGCCCAGCUUUGGAUGCAGGACAUACCUGUAGCUUCUGGAUGCUUU